Molecule: long non-coding RNA, 757 nt
Filed under: Phoenix dactylifera (date palm)
Lineage: Eukaryota; Viridiplantae; Streptophyta; Magnoliopsida; Arecales; Arecaceae
Description: long non-coding RNA (PDAC_LNC000677)
Source: RNAcentral
UGGCGUGUGGUACUGUCCGUUCUCGAGAACGGUAAGGUGUUGACAGUCGCAGCAGGGUAUAGCCGGAGUAGUCUUGAUGUUGUCCUUUGACUGUCAAGGGCCAGCUAUCGAAGCGUGGCACGGUGGUGUUGUAAUGUACGGCCACGCAGAUGGGCGUAGGCGCGCACAUAGGUCGGUUGUUGGCGAGGCCGAGCUCGUUGAGAGGUCGCAUCAUGCGUUUGACGAGGUCGGCUUGAUGGGUGCUAGGGGUAGCUCGGCUCUCUGAAUUUCGAGGUAUGCUCGAUGGAACGCCCUGAGCUCAAGAGUCGGGAUGUACUAUUGAAGCAGGCGCCUCGAGCUUGGUCGGGGCGGAUCGGCGAACAUUGGAGGCACCUCGAACUUGGUCGGAAGAGUCGGCGAACAUCUGAAGCCGAGCUGGUUUCGGGCUGGACUGAGGAUUCGACCGGACGGUGUUGGCGUUUAUUGGGCCAGAAGUGGACGACCUUUUAGCUGUGGUUUGGACGAUCUACUUCGCCCCCAUCAAUAUAUAUAUUAUUUUAUUAAGUUGAUAUAUCAACAACAAGUCUACAAAUAUAUUAAAUAUAAACAAAUAACAUACGAAAAAUCAAAAAAUUCGGGCAGGCCAGGCUUUAAUUGGUUUGUUUACUAAAAGGGCUUGCCGCUCGGCCGUGAACAGCUGUAUCUCGGUCUAAUCGUCGAUCUGAUGUUUAACAUCUUUGCCACCGCCUCCUCCACCUCGAACAUCUCCCCAUCCCAC